CACUAUGCUCAGCCCUAAAAUUUGAUAGGCCCCUACGCCCCCUAUCCGCCCGGGUACUACGAGCACCAGCUUGAAACCCAAAGGACUUGGCGGUGCUUCAUAUCCGUCUAGAGGAGCCUGUUCUAGAACCGAUAACCCCCGUUAAACCUCACCCUCCCUUGUUUGUACCGCCUAUAUACCGCCGUCGUCAGCCUACCCUGUGAAGGCCCAGAAGUGAGCAAGAUUGGUAAGACCCAAAACGUCAGGUCGAGGUGUAGUGAAUGAGAGGGGAAGAAAUGGGCUACAUUUCCUAAGCUAGGAAAUACGAAUAAUGAACUGAAAUAAGCAUUAGAAGGUGGAUUUAGCAGUAAGCAGAAAAACAGAGUGUUUCGCUGAAGUUAUGGCAAUAAAGCACGCACACAUCGCCCGUCACUCUCCCCGAGCUAUCCUAUUAACCAGUACCUAAAAAAUUACAUCUGCAAAGGGGAGGCAAGUCGUAA
This 479-nucleotide ribosomal RNA is filed under the name Amblyglyphidodon curacao (staghorn damselfish). RNAcentral describes it as "partial small subunit ribosomal RNA". It matches the Rfam family "Bacterial small subunit ribosomal RNA", at positions 788 to 1491 of the family's 1533-position model. Lineage: Eukaryota; Metazoa; Chordata; Actinopteri; Pomacentridae. The record is from RNAcentral.